UUAUUUAUCCUAUAGAUAAAGAAGCACCAAAAAGGCAAAGGGAAAAUGCCCGGUAUGAGCAAAAUAAAGAAGGGAUGUUAGAAAGCUAGAGCUGUAUUUAUUUUUCAGUUGCAGCUUAGCUAAUGUUUCAUCUGGUUUAUUGCGCCAAACUUUUGUCUCAGGUUCUUUUAUCACAUGGACUGCACUCAGUCCCAGUUUAUACCUACAUAUGAUAUUGCAUUUACCCUUGUACCUUUCAGUUCCAUGGUUAUUGUAAAGCAUCCACUAUUGUUGUACGCAUACAAGUAGUUGUAUUCACAAAUCAUCUUUUGUUUCCUAUUAUCCUCAAUAGGAUGCUAUUUUAUGCUGAUCGAAGUUAGUACUAAUACAUAACUUUGGUAGUCCGCAGAACCAAAAUCCUUUGACCUGAUCUCUUUGCAGGUGAAAAUUUAUAUUUUACUACGCAGAUGUAGAGUUAGCUUUUAUAUAAGGAAAUAAGAUUCGAGAAAUAAGCAACUUAAACACAGCAAUUGAAGAUUUCCAAGUCAGAUUUACCAACUUCAACAGAGAAUUGGCUUUUGUAGAAGGAAAUAUGAUUCGAGAGGGAUCGGACGGGAGAAAUAGAGAAGGACAGACGAUUGCUGCAGGAGGAGCAGGAGUCCUUGCACGUGGACACCCUCCCGUUCUCCCAGGUGAUCCGGCUACCAUGUCAUGGAUUCAGGGUAGUGUGUGGGAUUUCCAGUAGAAGAGUAGCUACUCACAAGCUUGAUGCCGCAAAAGCAUCUUCCUACUCUUCUGAGAACUUCCACCAAUAAGCUCCACGCGCU
Molecule: long non-coding RNA, 806 nt
Organism: Triticum aestivum (bread wheat)
Lineage: Eukaryota; Viridiplantae; Streptophyta; Magnoliopsida; Poales; Poaceae
Exons: 3
Source: RefSeq, a predicted model, not a curated record